AUGACAUCAUUCAGUCCAGCCAAGUCAUUUUCUUCUUUUAAUAUUGAUGACCUAGUUAAGCUUGCUGGGUUCUAUCCUCAUGAUUUUGACUUUGAAGAAAUGCACCAACUUCCUUUUCAAUUGAAUCUCUAUAUUAGUGAUGUGAGGAAUGAUGAAAACUUCACAAACUUGAGAAGUCUAGCAGAGUUGUCUAUGAUGCUUGUUAGAACAGGGAGGGCUCUUCGGUAUGAUAUUGUUUACAAACUUCUCAAAUUGGUGCUAGUCCUUCCUAUUGCAACAGCCAGUGUUGAGAGGGUCUUUUCAUCAAUGAACUAUAUAAAAAACAAGCUAAGAAGCAAGAUGGGGCAAAAAUACUUGAAUGAUUUCUUGGUCACAUUCAUUGAAAGGGAUUUCUUCUUGAAAGUUAAGGAUGAGGACAUUAUCACUCAUUUUCAAAGCAUCAAGGAUCGCAAAGUUAUCCUAUGA
This 465-nucleotide ribosomal RNA is filed under the name Triticum aestivum (bread wheat). RNAcentral describes it as "partial small subunit ribosomal RNA". The record is from RNAcentral. Lineage: Eukaryota; Viridiplantae; Streptophyta; Magnoliopsida; Poales; Poaceae.